UACGAAGGGAGCUAGCGUUGUUCGGAAUCACUGGGCGUAAAGCGCACGUAGGCGGAUGUGUCAGUCAGGGGUGAAAUCCCGGAGCUCAACUUCGGAACUGCCUUUGAUACAGCACGUCUUGAGUCCGAUAGAGGUGGGUGGAAUUCCUAGUGUAGAGGUGAAAUUCGUAGAUAUUAGGAAGAACACCGGUGGCGAAGGCGGCAUCCUGGACCAAUACUGACGCUGAGGCGCGAAAGCUAGGGGAGCAAACGGG
RNAcentral lists this ribosomal RNA (253 nucleotides) under uncultured bacterium. RNAcentral describes it as "partial 16S ribosomal RNA". It matches the Rfam family "Bacterial small subunit ribosomal RNA", at positions 524 to 776 of the family's 1533-position model. The record is from RNAcentral.